UGGGGAAUAUUGGACAAUGGGCGCAAGCCUGAUCCAGCCAUGCCGCGUGAGUGAUGAAGGCCCUAGGGUUGUAAAGCUCUUUCACCGGGGAAGAUAAUGACGGUAACCGGAGAAGAAGCUCCGGCUAACUUCGUGCCAGCAGCCGCGGUAAUACGAAGGGGGCUAGCGUUGUUCGGAUUUACUGGGCGUAAAGCGCACGUAGGCGGACUAUUAAGUCAGGGGUGAAAUCCCGGGGCUCAACCCCGGAACUGCCUUUGAUACUGGUUGUCUGGAGUACGAGGGAGGUGAGUGGAAGUCCGAGUGUAGAGGUGAAAUACGUAGAUAUUCGGAGGAACACCAGUGGCGAAGGCGGCUCACUGGCUCGAUACUGACGCUGAGGUGCGAAAGCGUGGGGAGCAAACAGG
RNAcentral lists this ribosomal RNA (404 nucleotides) under Actinomycetes bacterium. Its description in RNAcentral is "Actinobacteria bacterium partial 16S ribosomal RNA". It matches the Rfam family "Bacterial small subunit ribosomal RNA", at positions 355 to 776 of the family's 1533-position model. The record is from RNAcentral. Lineage: Bacteria; Bacillati; Actinomycetota; Actinomycetes.